GGAAAAUCUUCCAUCCGCUGGGCGGCUCUGGGUGUGUUGAGCAAGUGACUGUGUCCCCCGACGCUGGUGUGGCCCAAGGAGCAAAGGCCCCAAACGGGGUGGGGAGGGAGGGGGCCUCUGGCGGCACACAUGGCAGGGAGACAGAGAAGGGCCCGACACCGCGGAGCAGAGCAGGGGAGCAUGGGCUGCGGGCCCCACGGAGCAGCAACGCCGUGAGAGCUGCUGGAAGACACGGCGGACACAGAACGCGGCAGAGCAGUCAGGAACGCCGGCACCACGCACGUGACAGCCAGCUCAGACGAAGGGCAAGCAAGCGAAAUUUAGCAUCUGUGGUUAUGACCAGGAGCGUCCCUAAGAGCAGCUACGGUGGCCCUCUGACCGAGGGAACAGCACGAGCAUACACUGGAUUAUGCUUCUCUGUGUGUGUAUGUCUCUCUCUCUCUCCUUCUCCCUCCCUUCUUCCCUCUCUCCCUCCUUCCCUCCCUCUCUCUCUCCCUUUCUCUUGUCUCUCUCUUUCUGUUGUCUCUCUGUCUCUCCUGGUCUCUCUGUCCCUCUGUCUCUCUGUCUCUGUCUCUUGUCUCUGUGUCUCUGUCUCUCUUGACCAGGGUACUCCUGGGUCACAGGAAACUGGAGGGGCAGAUCCAGAAACACUCCUUAGAAAAACAAGAGGUCAUCUCUUGCUAGGACUGAACAGCCUGCCUCAGACUGGGGGCCAGGGGAGGAAAGAAGCAUUCAUUAAAACACCUACUACUCCCCGAGUAUUUUCUCGUUUGGUCCUCACAGUAUCAGGUAGAAAACGACACGACUGUUCUCAUUUUACAGCUGUGGAAACUGAGGCAGGCAGUGGGAGUGUGGCUUGCCUGCACUCCGGACUCCCACUCCCCUGCGCAGUCACCAGCUUGGGGCGAGAGACGGCCCCUGCUGCCCCUUCAGGGGAGACCGUGAUCGCUGCGGCAGGCCCGCCCCAGGAACCCGACACCCUUUCCAAACCGAGACCCAGCGUCCCCGGGCCCGAGAGCCACGGGACCCACACAAGGUGGGGGUGGGGGCAGCCCCUCAGGGCCGCGUGCACACCUGUGUGCCGGGCUGGGGCCGAGGGAAGUCCGCAGCUGCCCCAACGCUUCCUUCUGGCUUUGGGGGACAAGGAAGCGGGAGCGCGGGUUUGCUCUCCCGGGAGGCGAGCAGCCCACCAGAAGCCUCGGCCUGGAGGGGACGCCGGCCGGCACGUGCAGGGAGUGGCGUGUCGGGGGCUGAUUGUGUGACAGCCAGUGGGCGGCUCCAGGCACAGUGCCCUGGGUCCCGCUCCGGCGCUGGCCGCGAUCUGGUUAUUGCCGAGGGACUCACGAGAGGCGAGCCAGGACGUCUUGUCUUCACACAGAGGCCUUUUCACUGUGAGUCACAGGGUCUGGGAGGGGAAGAGCUCGGGUGGCGGCCGCCCUCAUCUGUCCUCGCCCUGACUGGGGCUCGGAGCCGAGCCAGGAGAAAGUGGGGCAGGGGGUGGGGUGGGUGGGAGCAAAAUCCCCGGCGAAUGAGGAGAUGUUCCCGCAGCGGGGGGCUCGGCAAGCCCUUCCCAGAGUCCUUGGGCACUCUCUGUCCUUCCUCACGGGGAGGCUAGUCCUUCCCGCUCUAGCUCCUCCCCUCAGCUCUUCUCGACUCCCGAUCUCUGGGGCCAAGCGGAGCAAACAUGGGCCGCGGCCUGGACUGCUGAAACGGCCAAAAUGCCUGCCCCGGAGAAGCGACAUAGACCCCUCUCUGAGAGCCCCCGAGGAGCUAUCCGCUGAUCUGGAAGCCCCCAAAGUGGAGCUCUCCAAUUCCCCCUUCUUAGUGCACCCCUCAAGUCCCCGGCCGCCCCACUUUUCUUUCCUAGGUUCGGCCAGUGUGGCCACGUAGGAAGUCCCUGAGGUGGCCCAGAGCAAGACACAUUGUGCUGUCCAACUACCAGCCCCAGGUUUGGACCCCCCCCCCCAACUGGCCCCACUGGAGCUGAUGACAUCUCACUGAAAAAGCCGAAUCGGAAGGAACUGCCCCGGGAUCCCCAGCAGCCACGGGCAGCCCCCAACUCACGGAUGCUGUGUGAGUGAGGCCAGGGACGAGGCGGGCUGGGGGCCCAGGGAGGUCAUGGCAGCAGUGCCAGGGAGGAGCCGUUAGACUGGAAAGCCCCCAGGUCACGCAGCAGAGGCUGUCUGCGGACACCAGGGCAGCCUGGGAGGGCAGCUCUGCCCCUGCCCCCAGGGCCUCUCUCUCUCAGACAGGGCCUGCUGACCCCUGGUUCCUGUCCUGGGGGAGCCGGCCGGGCCGGCUGCAUCACAGAGCCUUGGGGAGCCCAGACAAGCCGCCCGUCAGCAGGCUUUGGGGGAUUCUCCGGCAAUCCUCUGACUCUCCGCUCCAUGGAAGAGAGCAAAUUGCAGUGUCAGGUUGCCCUGGGGAAAGAGCUAAUCGGCUGAGCCCUGAUGCUCUGAGAGGCGGCAGCCCCACGCGGACCCCGAGGGACCAAGAUCUGGGGGGCGGGCCAGAACCAGCUCCCCUCACACUGGGAGGGACCCCUCCGCCAGGACGCCCCAGAGUGCCUCCCGGAUGAUUAGAACUGGAAGAGUGAGGGAGCCAUGGAAGUCCUUGCUGCGAGAUGAGGACCCCAAAGAGUUAAAGUAUAAGUCUUCCAAUGCUCCAGACAUGGAAAAAGUCACCAGAGAAACAACCGCCCUGACAACAGAAGGGAUGUGACCAGCCCAGAUCCGGGAGGAGCCCAUGGGGACUCUGCUAACAAAUGGCUUGCUCCAGUGAUCCUCACAACAAAACACAAGAAGAUGUUACUCCCACUUGACAGACACGAAAACCGAGCCGCAGACCCCCAGCCAGGCCCUGGCUGACCAGCAGCUGGCAGAGCUCUCGGCCCCCCCCCCCCUCACCGAGCCUUUGGCUAUUUUCCUGCCACUCGGUGCCCCUGACACGCCCCCCCCGGCCCCAGUGCCCUCGGCUCACCCUACCCCCCCACCCCUGCACCCCUCAGUGUUUCCUAGCUCACAUCCCACCGGCGUCCAGAGGGCCGAGGGCAACCGCCUCAGGUGGGGGUCAGCAUCUGGACCAGAGCAACCAUGGGGACCUAGUGAUGGGACGGCAUGCUAGAGCCCCCUUCACUAACCCCCCUCGGGGCCCCAGGGACCCCCAAACCAAGCUGGAGGUUCCUACCAUACGCAGCUGAGGCUCAUAGAGACAGAGAGAACAAAAAAGGGGAAGGAGGCAGGGACUGGCCGUCCCCCUCAUGUAUCGUUGGUGGACCUGCGACCUGCCUCGGCCUCUUCAGGAAAGCCACUUGGAGCAUCCCCAUAGCCACUGCCCCCCAACCAGGGCCGGCCCCCCUGCUCCACAGCCCAAAAGGCCAAAGAGAAAACCGACCCACGGGUUUGCUUCUGGGCUGGCUGAGAAUUAGAAGCGGGGGCGACACACCCAAACCCCAGCCUUUGUAACAGAGGGGGCUGCUGUCAGAAGGGACCGUCCAGCUGCGGGUUCCCCAGGACAGGGCAACAGGACAAAUGGGGGAAUCUUGUUUUGCUGGAUCUAUUGGGAGAGAUUUUAUUUUUCUUUCCAAUGAGAGAGAAAAUUGACUUCAGCUCCCUGGAAAAGAAAUAAAGAUUUAAAAUCUUCCUAGGCACCGGCGUCUCUCCCACCUGCCACCCCGCAAACAGAAGUCCUCUACUACCAGGGAAAAGCUGGGUCAAAGUGGGUAGAACCAGGAUGAUCGAUGAUCCGGGAGGAGGUAAAUGCAAAAUCUAGUCAUGAGGUCCCAGGGUGUGAAAUAGGAUAAGGAGGCUAAGGGUGGAGAGGAGGCAGAAGCAGGGAAGGCAACAAGCACUUACUCAGUAACUACACUGAACAUUUUACAAACGUUAUCUCAACUGAUCCCUACAGCCCCGGGAGAUAGAUGCUAUUAUUUUUUUCCCCUUCAACAAUUUUAUUAUUUAUUUUUAACAUUCUUUUCUUUUUAAAUUUUGAAUUUCAAGUUCUCUUCUAACUCUCUCCCACCCACUGGGAAGACAAGCAAAAUAAUGAAAAACAUAUUUCUAUAUUAGUCAUCUCACAAAAAAAAAAAAAAAGCAGGAAUAAUGAAAGCACCUUCAACUUGCACUCAGCAUUUACCAGUUGUCUGUCUCUCAGGCAUUGGAUGGCAUUUUUUCUAGAUGCUAUUAUUUAUUUUACAACAUUUUACAACUGAGGAAACUGAGGCAAACAGGUUAAGUGACUUGCCUGGGGUCACAAGGAUUUGAAUUGGAGUCUUUUGGACUCCAGACCCACUUUUCUCUCCACUACACCACCAGCUACCAAAGGGAGAGAUGUCAGGUAAGAAGUGACAAGACUGAGCAAGAGACUGGAGAUGUGGGCUAAGAAUGUGGAAUCAAGAUGACAUCUCGAUCGUCAGCUUGAGUGACUUGAGUAUGGUGGUACCACAGCCCCUGGACUGUAACCGGACCUUCUAGAGAAAGGGAUCUUCUUUUAGAGAAAGAGACCUUCUUUUAGAGAAAGGCACCUUCUAGAGAAAGGGGACCUUCUAGAGAAAGGGCUCUUCUUUUGGAGAAAGGGACCUUUUAGAGAAAGGGGACCUUCUAGAGAAAGGGCUCUUCUUUUGGAGAAAGGGACCUUCUUUUAGAGAAAGGCACCUUCUAGAGAAAGGGACCUUCUUUUAGAGAAAGGGGACCUUCUAGAGAAAGGGCUCUUCUUUUAGAGAAAGGGACCUUCUAGAGAAAGAGAAGGGAUGGGGGGGGGUGUUCUAUUUCAGGCACAGUGAGUUUAAGAUUUCUGGAGGACAUGCAUUUCAAAAUGCCCUAUACACAGUUGGCGAUGCAGAACCACAGCCCAAGAGAGAGACUAGGAGAUGGACACAGAUUUGGGAGCCAUCAAUGAUGGCUGAACCCUUGGGAGCCAAUAAGAGAUAGG
This 4929-nucleotide long non-coding RNA is filed under the name Sarcophilus harrisii (Tasmanian devil). RNAcentral describes it as "lncRNA (ENSSHAG00000028968.1)". The record is from RNAcentral. Lineage: Eukaryota; Metazoa; Chordata; Mammalia; Dasyuromorphia; Dasyuridae.